RNAcentral lists this ribosomal RNA (490 nucleotides) under uncultured bacterium. Its description in RNAcentral is "partial 16S ribosomal RNA". It matches the Rfam family "Bacterial small subunit ribosomal RNA", at positions 30 to 507 of the family's 1533-position model. The record is from RNAcentral.
AUUGAACGCUGGCGGCAGGCCUAACACAUGCAAGUCGAACGGUAACAGGAAGCAGCUUGCUGCUUUGCUGACGAGUGGCGGACGGGUGAGUAAUGUCUGGGAAACUGCCCGAUGGAGGGGGAUAACUACUGGAAACGGUAGCUAAUACCGCAUAACGUCGCAAGACCAAAGAGGGGGACCUUAGGGCCUCUUGCCAUCGGAUGUGCCCAGAUGGGAUUAGCUAGUAGGUGGGGUAACGGCUCACCUAGGCGACGAUCCCUAGCUGGUCUGAGAGGAUGACCAGCCACACUGGAACUGAGACACGGUCCAGACUCCUACGGGAGGCAGCAGUGGGGAAUAUUGCACAAUGGGCGCAAGCCUGAUGCAGCCAUGCCGCGUGUAUGAAGAAGGCCUUCGGGUUGUAAAGUACCUUCAGCGGGGAGGAAGGGAGUAAAGUUAAUACCUUGGCUCAUUGACGUUACCCGCAGAAGAAGCACCGGCUAACUCCGUG